Molecule: long non-coding RNA, 2118 nt
Organism: Columba livia (rock pigeon)
Lineage: Eukaryota; Metazoa; Chordata; Aves; Columbiformes; Columbidae
Exons: 5
Source: RefSeq, a predicted model, not a curated record
GAUCCCGGUACCGGUCGCGUCGACGGAGAAACGAUCCGCACCUGGGCGGGGGGGCGGUUCUUAAACCGCUCCGGUGGCGCCUGGGAGCCAUCGGGGUUUGCCGGGAGCUCAGGAUUCCAAAGCGGAGCAGCUGGGAGCUCGCUCGGAGCUCGCCGCCGCUUCCCGGGGCUCAGGGUUCCGAUGCAGAGCCGCUGGGAGCUCGCCGCCGCUUCCCGGGGCUCAGGGUUCCGAUGCAGAGCCGCUCGGAGCUCGCCGCCGCUUCCCGGGGGAUCAGGGUUCCGACGCGGGGCCGCUCGGAGCUCGCCGCCGCUUCCCGGGGCUCAGGGUUCCGAUGCGGGGCCGCUCGGAGCUCGCCGCCGCUCUUCCCGGGGGAUCAGGGUUCCGAUGCGGGGCCGCUCGGAGCUCGCCGCCGCUUCCCGGGGCUCAGGGUUCCGACACGGGGCCGCUCGGAGCUCGCCGCCGCUUCCCGGGGGCUCGGUUGGAGCGUUUGGGAGCUCACUGCUCGGUCGGAGCUCCCUCCCGGUGACCGGAGCCCGGUGCAGGUCCCCAGGGCCUCGCCGCUGCAUUUUCAGAGCCCCCCGGAGCUUCCGGGCAGGUAAUUGAAGGCGUUUUACGUUCCGGAGCGGCCGAAAGAGCGGUGGGCGUGGCCGCAGGUAGAGCCGAAAUUAGGAUGAGGUUCCUGGAGCGGUUGCUGCAGCGGGGGGGACCUUCUAUCGCUCUGCCGGUGACGAAGCGGGGAUGGGACCGGUUCAGUCCCGGGGUCCCGGAUGGCCCCCCCAGCCUGGGGCAACUUUAGUUUCUUUCGUUUGAAAUCUUUGUCUAGCACUUACAUCGGGAUCCUCAGCUUGGGGGGAGUCGGAGGAGCUUUUUCCCCCUGGGGGCAAUAGGGUUUUUCUCCCCGAGCCUCCGUGGCUCAUGCGGGUGCCCCCCCACCCAGGUCGGGUGCCUCAUCUUUCCCUUCCCGGGGGGGGGGUUCCAGGGCGCGCAGGGGAGUCAAGACCCAUGCGGUUUGUCACGUUAGUUUUAUUUUCUGUUUGUUUCAGGGUCCGGAGCGGCAGAGCUGCCAGCGGCGGCUCAGGGGAAGGGGACAGCGGCCAGGGCGGGCAGGUCGAGCGGCGCGUCGAGCCCCGGGGGGGCCCGGUGCCGGUCCGGGGGGGCCCGGCGCGCCCCCCGCCGCCCGUACUGGAAGCGCAGCCGCAGCUCCCCGACCCGGGCCCGGGGCAGGAUGUCGGGGAUCCACUCGAUGACAAAGGGGGUCGCCUCCUUCUGGGCUGGCGACGUGGUGCCUGGGGGGGACAAAGUGGCGUUAGAGCCCCCAGCAAGGGCUGGGGGGGGUGUUAUAUUUUUAUUGUGUUUUUCAAGCUUAAGUUUUAGGUGGCUGGGAAAUCAGCGGAUGCAGAAGGAGCCAUAGGGUGAGUAACCAAGAUAUUUUUGUUGGAUUAGGUGGGCUGGGGGUCCCCCAGUCGUGUGGGUGGCACUGCAGGCGCCCCUGGCCAAGGCGGGAGUGUGUAGGUAACAGGUUUUUUGGUCUCAGUGUGUGUUUGUCUGUUUCAGGUGCUCAGAGGAAGGGAUUCAAGUGUCUGCUGUCCCAGUCUUUAGUUUCUCCUCUCCAGCUCAGGACUUGCCACAGUCCAGGAGGCUGCACUGGUUCCUCUAAACUUAGAAUCACCAAAUCACUCUAGAUGUGAAAAAUGAAAAAACAGCUGGGCUGCUGGGAUUAAGACUUAGGCAACUGCUCUUCUCUGCCCUGGCACUUAGGCAGCUGCAGAGUUUCUUUCUUAGGUGCAACAAGGAGAAAACCUGCUACUACGAGCACAGAGAGAGACUUGACAAUCUCUUUGGGCUGAUAGCUUGUUCCCUGGAAGCUGCCGCUCUAAAUGGAGGAGGGAUCUCUUCAAGAACAACCUGCUGGGGCUGCAGGGUCACCCUGGAUGAUCUCUCCUACUUCUGUCUGCCCAGAACCUGGCAGUGACUCUGUCAGCUCUGCAGGUGGAGACUCCAAGCACUGGCACAAAGAGUGCUGCCUGUGUCUGCACCGCACAAUAAAAUAUCUAACACCAGUCAGAGCCUGCUGCUUAUGUCCUUGAGUGCACUUUUGCCUCUCCUUUCUCCCCCUAG